Molecule: transfer RNA, 81 nt
Filed under: Armillaria borealis
Lineage: Eukaryota; Fungi; Basidiomycota; Agaricomycetes; Agaricales; Physalacriaceae
Rfam family: tRNA
About the family: Transfer RNA (tRNA) molecules are approximately 80 nucleotides in length. Their secondary structure includes four short double-helical elements and three loops (D, anti-codon, and T loops).
Source: Rfam by way of RNAcentral
GUCGGUAUCGAUUAGGGGUUAAAUCACUUCGUUGUGGUUAGUAAUUCCGAAGAGCCGCAGGUUCGAUUCCUGCUACCGACA